CCCGGGUGCUGGAUGUCCCGGGCUAAGCACAAAGAUGGCAAUGUUGGCAAAUCCGCAUUGUAUUAACAUUGAAGUGUGAAAAUAGGGGAGUGAACGGUUCGCCUAGUAACGAAGUAUAUGACUCCAUGCUUCCAAGAAAAGCUUCUAACUUAAUAAUUAACUGCCUGUACCUAGAACGAACACACGUGGUCAAGGAGAAAAUCCUAAGGCAAGCGAGAUAACUGUAGCUAAGGAACUCUGCAAAAUAACUCCGUAACUUCGGAAGAAGGAGUGCUUAUCUAUGAUAAGCCGCAGUGAAGAGGGAGGGGCAACUGUUUAACAAAAACACAGCUCUCUGCUAAGUCGCAAGACGAUGUAUAGGGGGUGACACCUGCCCAGUGCCGGAAGGUUAAAAGGAGAAGUCAGCGCAAGCGAAGCUUUGAAUUGAAGCCCCGGUGAACGGCGGCCGUAACUAUAACGGUCCUAAGGUAGCGAAAUUCCUUGUCAGGUAAAUUCUGACCCGCACGAAAGGUGUAAUGAUCCCUUCGCUGUCUCGGCUGCAGACUCGGUGAAAUUUUAGUACCGGUGAAGAUGCCGGUUACCCGCAACUAGACGGAAAGACCCCGUGGAGCUUUACUAUAACUUGAUAUUGAAAUUUGGUAUGACGUGUAGAGGAUAGGUGGGAGACUAUGAGACUAGGACGCUAGUUCUAGUGGAGUCAACCUUGGAAUACCACCCUCGUUAUAUUGGAUUUCUAACUUGGAUCCAUUAUCUGGAUUAAGGACAGUGUCUGGUGGGUAGUUUGACUGGGGCGGUCGCCUCCCAAAAAGUAACGGAGGCGCUCAAAGGUAUCCUCAGUAUGGUUGGAAAUCAUACAUAGAGCGCAAAG
Molecule: ribosomal RNA, 868 nt
Filed under: Mycoplasma mycoides
Lineage: Bacteria; Bacillati; Mycoplasmatota; Mollicutes; Mycoplasmatales; Mycoplasmataceae
Description: partial 23S ribosomal RNA
Rfam family: Bacterial large subunit ribosomal RNA
Source: RNAcentral